RNAcentral lists this ribosomal RNA (515 nucleotides) under Bacillus thuringiensis. Its description in RNAcentral is "bacterial SSU rRNA". It matches the Rfam family "Bacterial small subunit ribosomal RNA", at positions 39 to 535 of the family's 1533-position model. The record is from RNAcentral. Lineage: Bacteria; Bacillati; Bacillota; Bacilli; Caryophanales; Bacillaceae.
AGGGGGGGGUCCUAUCAUGCAGUCGAGCGAAUGGAUUAAGAGCUUGCUCUUAUGAAGUUAGCGGCGGACGGGUGAGUAACACGUGGGUAACCUGCCCAUAAGACUGGGAUAACUCCGGGAAACCGGGGCUAAUACCGGAUAACAUUUUGAACUGCAUGGUUCGAAAUUGAAAGGCGGCUUCGGCUGUCACUUAUGGAUGGACCCGCGUCGCAUUAGCUAGUUGGUGAGGUAACGGCUCACCAAGGCAACGAUGCGUAGCCGACCUGAGAGGGUGAUCGGCCACACUGGGACUGAGACACGGCCCAGACUCCUACGGGAGGCAGCAGUAGGGAAUCUUCCGCAAUGGACGAAAGUCUGACGGAGCAACGCCGCGUGAGUGAUGAAGGCUUUCGGGUCGUAAAACUCUGUUGUUAGGGAAGAACCAGUGCUAGUUGAAUAAGCUGGCACCUUGACAAUACCUCACCAGAAAGCCACGGCUAACAACGUGCCACAAGCCGCAGUGCUACUUAGGUGGG